GGGGAGCGCGGGGACAGGGGAGCCCCGGCCGUGAGGGGAGCGCGGGGACAGGGGAGCCCCGGCCGUGAGGGGAGUGCGGGGGAAGCCGGUGAGCCCCAAGGAGCCCGGCCGUGCGGGGAGUUCCCGUGAACCCCGGAGAUAGGGGCUGUGACCUGUCGUGGCAGUGGAGCACACACGACAGCCGCCCUGCUGCUCCAGAGGGGAUGACAGCUUCUGACCCAUCCAGCAGCAACUGAGGGGCCAUCCUGGACAGAGAGCCAGUCCUGCUCCACUGGGAAACCUCUGAGCCGAAUCACACCUCCAAACUCUCCUUGGCUUAAACAGGCUAGCUCUUGGAGAGGUUACAAAGUCCUUCCUUUCACAGAAUACCUGAGCCCCUCAGGAGCAGUGUCCUGCCUGUCCGACAGCCUCAGUCAGAUUUAGCACAAGUGAAAGCCAAGCUUCUCCUCAGGGUUUAGGUGCCCUACCGUGGAAGAACCUUCCAGGUGGGCCAGAUUUACGUUCGGCCUUCGAUGGAGGUGACUCCCAGAAUCAACGUGAGCUAAGUGCAUCCCUCUGCCUGCCCUCACUCUGCAGUCCUGGCGAGACAAGACUGAAGUCACAGCCCUUGGGUGGUGGUGGCUCUUCUACAUGACAGAACAUUUCUGCUCGGCCGCCUGCUUCAUUUCAGUAAAGGUGGCUUGUGCCUUUUCUUUGAUC
Molecule: long non-coding RNA, 699 nt
Organism: Lepidothrix coronata (blue-crowned manakin)
Lineage: Eukaryota; Metazoa; Chordata; Aves; Passeriformes; Pipridae
Exons: 4
Source: RefSeq, a predicted model, not a curated record